This 237-nucleotide unclassified non-coding RNA is filed under the name uncultured fungus. RNAcentral's name for it is "sequence contains ITS1". The record is from RNAcentral. Lineage: Eukaryota; Fungi.
ACAAAUUAUUUAGGCCCCUGGCUGCGUCCAAAAGGCGCGAAGGGGGAGAAACCUAAACAUUUGUGUGCACCAUAUCUGUCCUUGGCAGUUCGAGUGUCCCUGGGUUGCGUAACUGCCCCAGGCACCUACUGAUGCUCUCUCUUCGGGGACUGCAAAAGUUGGGCUGCCGCCUUUUUGAACAAACCUUUUGUUUUUUUUCGCCUGAAUUUGUUUGAUCUUUAUGAUUGAAUUUAAAUA